AACGAACGCUGGCGGCAGGCUUAACACAUGCAAGUCGAACGCCCCGCAAGGGGAGUGGCAGACGGGUGAGUAACGCGUGGGAAUCUACCUGGAACUACGGAACAACAGAGGGAAACUUCUGCUAAUACCGUAUACGCCCUACGGGGGAAAGAUUUAUCGGUUUCAGAUGAGCCCGCGUAAGAUUAGCUAGUUGGUGAGGUAAUGGCUCACCAAGGCGACGAUCUUUAGCUGGUCUGAGAGGAUGAUCAGCCACACUGGGACUGAGACACGGCCCAGACUCCUACGGGAGGCAGCAGUGGGGAAUAUUGGACAAUGGGCGCAAGCCUGAUCCAGCCAUGCCGCGUGAGUGAUGAAGGCCUUAGGGUUGUAAAGCUCUUUCAGUGGGGAAGAUAAUGACGGUACCCACAGAAGAAGCCCCGGCUAACUUCGUGCCAGCCGCCGCGGUAA
Molecule: ribosomal RNA, 447 nt
Filed under: uncultured bacterium
Lineage: Bacteria
Description: partial 16S ribosomal RNA
Rfam family: Bacterial small subunit ribosomal RNA
Source: RNAcentral